Molecule: long non-coding RNA, 470 nt
Filed under: Nicotiana benthamiana
Lineage: Eukaryota; Viridiplantae; Streptophyta; Magnoliopsida; Solanales; Solanaceae
Description: long non-coding RNA (NBEN_LNC021035)
Source: RNAcentral
ACAUAGGUCCUCGGCAGGCGGGAACAAAAAGAGAAAGAAGAAGAUAGAAAGGUUCGGUCCCAGUUGGUCUCGUCUAUGGAUUUUCUUUCCCUAUCCUAUUGUCGAGACGAAUGUGGCCAUACCCAGAGGACUAUCGCAUCAGCAAGACGACUUUCUAGUCAGAUCCUUCCUGCGCUUCGGAUAUGAAGAAUUUGAUCGAUCGAUUUAGGAAAGAUGAAAAAACAAAGGCCCCCUCUUUCUCCAGAACUUGGACUCAAUCCACAUCCCUUGCUUGAACCUUCUAGACCGAACUCAAUUCAAUAAAGUUUCCCCGUCCGAUAGGUGCUAUAUAUAGUGGGCGAUUUACCUAGUAAUCGGCAUUCUAGAAGCAACUUCUUUAUUCUACUCGCUACCGGUUUUGGGCCUUAUUAAUCUACAAUAAUCGAUAAGAAAAUCACUGCCGCUGUCAGCUACAGACCCAGAGUAGGACC